CCUACGGGUGGCUGCAGUGGGGAAUAUUGGACAAUGGGGGGAACCCUGAUCCAGCCAUGCCGCGUGUGUGAAGAAGGCCCUCGGGUUGUAAAGCACUUUCAGUGAGGAAGAACGCCUGGUGGUUAAUACCCAUCAGGAAAGACAUCACUCACAGAAGAAGCACCGGCUAACUCCGUGCCAGCAGCCGCGGUAAUACGGAGGGUGCGAGCGUUAAUCGGAAUUACUGGGCGUAAAGCGCGCGUAGGUGGCUUGAUAAGCCGGUUGUGAAAGCCCUGGGCUCAACCUGGGAACGGCAUCCGGAACUGUCAAGCUAGAGUGCAGGAGAGGAAGGUAGAAUUCCCGGUGUAGCGGUGAAAUGCGUAGAGAUCGGGAGGAAUACCAGUGGCGAAGGCGGCCUUCUGGACUGACACUGACACUGAGGUGCGAAAGCGUGGGUAGCAAACAGGAUUAGAUACCCUUGUAGUC
This 465-nucleotide ribosomal RNA is filed under the name Vreelandella stevensii. RNAcentral's name for it is "partial 16S ribosomal RNA". It matches the Rfam family "Bacterial small subunit ribosomal RNA", at positions 338 to 795 of the family's 1533-position model. Lineage: Bacteria; Pseudomonadati; Pseudomonadota; Gammaproteobacteria; Oceanospirillales; Halomonadaceae. The record is from RNAcentral.